CCUCACUCUCACGAGAACAGCAUGUGGGAAACCAGGGAAACUGUCCCCAUGAUCCAGUGACCUCCCACCAGGUCCCUCCCUUGACACAACAGAGAUUACAAUUUGAGAUGAGAUUUGGAUGGAGACACAGAGCCAAACCAUAUUAAGCCUGUUCUGCUGGGACACAGAAUCACUUGCUCCAUCUCAUACAUUGAUGAUGAUUAAUUUGUAUGUGUACCUUCCAAAAAAGAUGGUUGUGUUUGAAUGGAGGCCUUCUGGACAGGAAAAUUGCAAAGUACAAUUAACAUUUGAGUCUGUCUGAGUCAUGAAGAAAUGGAGAUUACUGAAAAUAAUUCAUUUUGGUAUCUUCUUACAUCCUGAGAGACUAAUCUUUCCAAGUUCAUCUGAGGCUCCUCUUCUCCAUGACAACCUCAUCCAGGGAUUUCUUCCUGUCCUGGUGUUUUAUGACAUAAUCACAUCCUUCCUGAGAUAAUGAGCACACAAUUGCCUGGAUACCUGAAGGAAUGGAGACAGCGGCAGAAAACACUGCAGAGAGGUGGAAACAUCCGUUAAUAUUUUAAAAUCCCAUUACUGCUACCAACAAUAAUAAUGGAUGCAUAGAAAUAGAUCUGGAUUAGCUGAGCUUGAAACAGUCCAUCUCACACACACACAAAAGAAUUUCAGAUACAGUGAACCCACAUGUUGAAGCUUUCUAGUAUAAUAAAAAUUUCAACUGUUCUGUUGAAUCAUCUGCCUGAUUGGAGGCUACAGAAAAGAUGUCAUCUUAGGAGUGCUUGCUCUGAGUGAGGCUCAUCUUCAAAUCUGAAUGACCACAAGGAGAUUUGAUUAUACAUGUGAACACCUCAGAAGGCACAGCCCACCCAGAAGGCAGACAGGUCAGGCUGCUUUUUCUUCAUUGCUUGGAUUCAAUCCUCCGGGCGGCUCAGGCUCAAACAUAACUUAAGCAUGAUUAAACUUUAGAAGAAGCUGCCAGGAAGACUGUGAAAUCUUCAUGCCCAAGGAUCCCUAAAAUUAGGAGCAACAACCACUUGGCUCAGACGGUUUAUGGAGGCAAAGGUUUGGAUGGGAUUAGAGAUUUCUAAAUGUGAGUUCGUGUCCUCUGCCAGACCACCUUACUUCCACCAUUCCUCAGCAAAUCAAGAAAAACAGGAGAAAAGACAUGCCUUUCCAUAAGUUAAAUCUAUUCUGUUUUAAUUCUAUAUUAUAUCUGCUGUACAACUUCUUUUGUUUGUAACACCAUAUUGUUGCUAGUAACUGGAAAUUAAUUUUCACAUGCCUCAGCUUAGAAAAAUAAAAAGCAGCCCUGCAUCAAUCCCAA
This 1318-nucleotide long non-coding RNA is filed under the name Homo sapiens (human). RNAcentral's name for it is "long intergenic non-protein coding RNA 635". Lineage: Eukaryota; Metazoa; Chordata; Mammalia; Primates; Hominidae. The record is from RNAcentral.